AAAGAGAGUUUGAAUUCAAAGGCAAUCCGUACAGUUGCAUCUAUAGAUAGAAGGGAGAAAGGGUGUGUAAACACAGAGGAAUUGGAGUUGUGGUUUUUUCUGGUGUGGUCUUCCUAUGAGAAAAGAGAGAGACGGUUGUAAAAGACGGUAGUUGGGGGUAUUUAUGCUACGUGGUACGGAGUCAGUCUGUAAUAAUUUUCAUUAAAAAAUGUACCAAC
RNAcentral lists this long non-coding RNA (218 nucleotides) under Panax ginseng (ginseng). RNAcentral's name for it is "long non-coding RNA (PGIN_LNC011286)". Lineage: Eukaryota; Viridiplantae; Streptophyta; Magnoliopsida; Apiales; Araliaceae. The record is from RNAcentral.